Molecule: long non-coding RNA, 1106 nt
Filed under: Panax ginseng (ginseng)
Lineage: Eukaryota; Viridiplantae; Streptophyta; Magnoliopsida; Apiales; Araliaceae
Description: long non-coding RNA (PGIN_LNC013189)
Source: RNAcentral
AACAGUCGCCCUGCAGUUCAAGCACCUCUUCGAAUUCUACCCAAAACCCGGGGCCCUUGGUCCACCGACCUCUGCGACUGCUUCUCUGAUGUCAACAACUGUAAGAUCAUAUACAUAUUUGAAUUUGAUUACCAUAAACUUAACUUCGUUUUAACCCCGUAUUUACUCCCACCAUUCAUCUGAACCACACAAAAAAAAUAGUCUCUUUUCUAAAUUUUUAAUAAUCUUCGGAACUAAUUCUGUUUUUAUUAUUAAUAAUAAUAUUAAAUAAAACAUAUAGUAAUAUAUUUCAUUAAUUAUCUCGCCACAAUUACAUCUUUAUGUUUGUAAAUUUUGUAGGUGAGUGUUUUUGUGAAGGAGAGAGUGUAUAGUUUUGUAAAAGAUGAUUAAUUAUCAUAUUAUAUUAUUAGCAAUAAAUUGAUUUAGAAGCUGGUUCUCGAUCGGAUUGUUGAUAUAUAUAUAUAUAUAUUCUGGCCUGCAGGUUGCAUAACGUUUUGGUGUCCGUGCGUUACUUUUGGACAAAUUGCAGAGAUUAUAGACAAGGGAUCAUCUUGUAAGUAGUACUGAACCUUGAUCUACCUUGCUACAAAUAAAAAAUAUUACUUCAAUUUAAUUUACUACUUUCUUCUUCUUACCAUUAACUUGAACGAGUGCAGCAUGUUGUACGAGCGGAGCCCUAUACGCACUGAUAUGUUGCGUGACUUCGUGUUGCUGCCUAUCUUGUUUUUAUAGAACAAAGAUGAGGCAGCAAUAUUCUCUGCGCCAAACCCCUUGUGCCGAUUGCUUGGUCCAUUGUUGUUGCGAGCCAUGUGCCCUGUGUCAAGAAUAUCGCGAGCUCAAAAACAAUGGGUUCGACAUGUCCAUUGGUAAUACUAUACUAAACUUAUAGAGUUUGAAUUCUUUAUUUAAAAGAAAAUAAAAUGGUUAAUUAGUUGUUGUUAUUGAUGGAAUUAAUAUUUAAGCUUAUUUGGUUUGGUUUGGUUUGGUUUAAUUAAUAUAUAGGAUGGCAUGGAAAUGCCGAGAAACAAAACCUUGAAACGGAGAUAGCACCGGGGAUUGAAGCAGGAAUGACCCGCUAGCUGAGAAGGAUUCAUUACUUGUACCUG